Molecule: ribosomal RNA, 107 nt
Filed under: Ailuropoda melanoleuca (giant panda)
Lineage: Eukaryota; Metazoa; Chordata; Mammalia; Carnivora; Ursidae
Source: RNAcentral
GUCUAUGGCCAUACCACCCUGAACACCUAAUCUCAGAAGCUAAGCAGGGUCAGACCUGGCUAGUACCUGGAUGUGCGACUACCCAGGAAUGCUAGGUGCUAUAGUUU